CGCAUCUGUGCAUGCAGCAUAUCAAUAAGCGGAGGAAAAGAAACUAACAAGGAUUCCCCUAGUAACGGCGAGUGAAGCGGGAAGAGCUCAAAUUUGAAAUCUUAAAGGGUUUCCCUUUACGAAUUGUAGUUUAAAGAAGUGUUUUCUGUUGAGGUUUUGGUAAAAGUUCUUUGGAAUAGGACAUCAUAGAGGGUGAGAAUCCCGUAUUUGACCUUUACUUUCAACUUUGUGAUACACUUUCAAAGAGUCGGAUUGUUUGGGAAUGCAGUCCAAAAUGGGUGGUAAAUUUCAUCUAAAGCUAAAUAUUGGCGAGAGACCGAUAGCGAACAAGUACCGUGAGGGAAAGAUGAAAAGAACUUCGAAAAGAGAGUUAAACAGUACGUGAAAUUGUCAAAAGGGAAGCGUUUGACACCAGUGUUGUUUUUCUGAAAAUCAAUUAAAGAACUGUUUAUGCUAAGUUGUUUAGACUUUAUCAGCUAACUGUUUAGUUUUGAGCUUUUCUUUAAUGCACUUUUCAGUUAACAAGUCAACAUCAAUUUCUUUUGCUGUAAAAAAGCUUGAGGAAGGUGGCUUGAGAUUCGUCUUAAGUGUUUAUAGCCUCUUGCCUAUGCAGUCGGAGAGAUUGAGGUCUGCAGCGUAGAUCCUUCGGGGCUAAAUGCAUUUGUGCUAAGUUAUAGCAUUUCAUAGACAACUUGUUGACUAUGAUUUGUCUUGUAGCUUACUCGCUUAUGUUAUUUUACCUACGCUUAGGAUGUUGACAGCAGUAUAGACUGU
Molecule: ribosomal RNA, 774 nt
Filed under: uncultured Neocallimastigales
Lineage: Eukaryota; Fungi; Neocallimastigomycota; Neocallimastigomycetes; Neocallimastigales
Description: partial large subunit ribosomal RNA
Rfam family: Eukaryotic large subunit ribosomal RNA
Source: RNAcentral